Molecule: ribosomal RNA, 567 nt
Filed under: Lodderomyces parapsilosis
Lineage: Eukaryota; Fungi; Ascomycota; Pichiomycetes; Serinales; Debaryomycetaceae
Description: Candida parapsilosis partial large subunit ribosomal RNA
Rfam family: Eukaryotic large subunit ribosomal RNA
Source: RNAcentral
AAACCAACAGGGAUUGCCUUAGUAGCGGCGAGUGAAGCGGCAAAAGCUCAAAUUUGAAAUCUGGCACUUUCAGUGUCCGAGUUGUAAUUUGAAGAAGGUAUCUUUGGGUCUGGCUCUUGUCUAUGUUUCUUGGAACAGAACGUCACAGAGGGUGAGAAUCCCGUGCGAUGAGAUGUCCCAGACCUAUGUAAAGUUCCUUCGAAGAGUCGAGUUGUUUGGGAAUGCAGCUCUAAGUGGGUGGUAAAUUCCAUCUAAAGCUAAAUAUUGGCGAGAGACCGAUAGCGAACAAGUACAGUGAUGGAAAGAUGAAAAGAACUUUGAAAAGAGAGUGAAAAAGUACGUGAAAUUGUUGAAAGGGAAGGGCUUGAGAUCAGACUUGGUAUUUUGUAUGUUACUCUCUCGGGGGUGGCCUCUACAGUUUACCGGGCCAGCAUCAGUUUGAGCGGUAGGAUAAGUGCAAAGAAAUGUGGCACUGCUUCGGUAGUGUGUUAUAGUCUUUGUCGAUACUGCCAGCUUAGACUGAGGACUGCGGCUUCGGCCUAGGAUGUUGGCAUAAUGAUCUUAAGU